RNAcentral lists this ribosomal RNA (491 nucleotides) under uncultured Bacteroidota bacterium. RNAcentral's name for it is "bacterial SSU rRNA". It matches the Rfam family "Bacterial small subunit ribosomal RNA", at positions 381 to 872 of the family's 1533-position model. The record is from RNAcentral. Lineage: Bacteria; Pseudomonadati; Bacteroidota.
GUCUGAACCAGCCAUGUCGCGUGCAGGAUGACGGCCCUACGGGUUGUAAACUGCUUUUUUACGGGAAUAAACACAUCUACGUGUAGAUGUCUGAAGGUACCGUAUGAAUAAGGAUCGGCUAACUCCGCGCCAGCAGCCGCGGUAAUACGGAGGAUUCUAGCGUUAUCCGGAUUUAUUGGGUUUAAAGGGUCCGUAGGCGGGCCUGUAAGUCAGUGGUGAAAUCUCACAGCUCAACUGUGAAACUGCCAUUGAUACUGCAGGUCUUGAAUAUAGUUGAGGUGGGCGGAAUACGUUAUGUAGCGGUGAAAUGCAUAGAUAUAACGUAGAACACCGAUUGCGAAGGCAGCUCACUAAGCUAAUAUUGACGCUGAUGGACGAAAGCGUGGGGAGCGAACAGGAUUAGAUACCCUGGUAGUCCACGCCGUAAACGAUGAUUACUCGUUGUGCGCGAUACACAGUGCGCGACUGAGCGAAAGCAUUAAGUAAUCCAC